RNAcentral lists this long non-coding RNA (323 nucleotides) under Cucumis sativus (cucumber). Its description in RNAcentral is "long non-coding RNA (CSAT_LNC002874)". Lineage: Eukaryota; Viridiplantae; Streptophyta; Magnoliopsida; Cucurbitales; Cucurbitaceae. The record is from RNAcentral.
CAAAAACAGCCAUGGAAGCCACUGAAGUUUAAUUCAACAUCUGUUUAUCUUUUUAAAGAUUUUCUUCUGAAAAAAAAAUACAAAAUUGAUUGCCCACUUCCCAUAUCCAAAACCCAGAAAGCUUGGAUUUUUUCAGGUAUUUUUGUACUGAAUUUUUUCUGGGUUUGGUUUUGUUUAAUUUGUUAUGAGAUCUGAUUUUUUUGUUAUUUUUUUUCAGGUGGGAGGUUUUUGAAAAAUAGGGUGGGAAAAAAGGGAAGAUGUUGAGGAAUAGAUCUAGAGCUGUAAGUGGAAAACAAGCAUUAAUGGCAGAAAAUCAAGUUUCA